UCCACUUGGGAUGAUCAAGGCCUUCGGAAGU
RNAcentral lists this non-coding RNA (31 nucleotides) under Rattus norvegicus (Norway rat). Lineage: Eukaryota; Metazoa; Chordata; Mammalia; Rodentia; Muridae. The record is from RNAcentral.